UAAAGCUUAUUGAAUACCAACAUCUUCUGAAUGCAACUCAGACACUUUAUUUAAGCUAAAACUUC
RNAcentral lists this transfer RNA (65 nucleotides) under Brookesia therezieni. Its description in RNAcentral is "tRNA-Ala". The record is from RNAcentral. Lineage: Eukaryota; Metazoa; Chordata; Lepidosauria; Squamata; Chamaeleonidae.